This 204-nucleotide long non-coding RNA is filed under the name Trifolium pratense (red clover). RNAcentral describes it as "long non-coding RNA (TPRA_LNC009567)". The record is from RNAcentral. Lineage: Eukaryota; Viridiplantae; Streptophyta; Magnoliopsida; Fabales; Fabaceae.
AUAAUUUUAAAAUUAAGCACAUGAAUUAAAGUGAAACAUUUCUAAAUUCAACACAGAAAAGUCUUAAAUUACAUAAACAAAAUUAUCUAAUUUUUCAACGGGUCAGAUUAGAGUUCGACCCGAAUUAAAAAAAAAAACACACAGAACCAAACAUUUGUGUUGAGUUGUUGACCCGUAUCAUGAACACCCGUAGUUAAAGUAACA